AGAGUUUGAUCAUGGCUCAGAACGAACGCUGGCGGCAGGCUUAACACAUGCAAGUCGAACGCUCGUAGCAAUACGGGAGUGGCAGACGGGUGAGUAACGCGUGGGAACCUUCCCUGUGGUACGGAAUAACUUCGGGAAACCGAAGCUAAUACCGUAUAUCUCCUGCGGGAGAAAGAUUUAUCGCCAUAGGAUGGGCCCGCGUUGGAUUAGCUAGUUGGUGAGGUAACGGCUCACCAAGGCAACGAUCCAUAGCUGGUCUGAGAGGAUGAUCAGCCACACUGGGACUGAGACACGGCCCAGACUCCUACGGGAGGCAGCAGUGGGGAAUAUUGGACAAUGGGCGCAAGCCUGAUCCAGCCAUGCCGCGUGAGUGAAGAAGGCCUUAGGGUUGUAAAGCUCUUUUGGCGGGGACGAUAAUGACGGUACCCGCAGAAUAAGCCCCGGCUAACUUCGUGCCAGCAGCCGCGGUAAUACGAAGGGGGCUAGCGUUGUUCGGAAUCACUGGGCGUAAAGCGUACGCAGGCGGAUCGAUAAGUCAGGGGUGAAAUCCCGGGGCUCAACCUCGGAAUUGCCUUUGAUACUGUCGAUCUUCGAGUUCGGGAGAGGUUGGCGGAAUUCCUAGUGUAGAGGUGAAAUUCGUAGAUAUUAGGAAGAACACCAGUGGCGAAGGCGGCCAACUGGCCCGAUACUGACGCUCAUGUACGAAAGCGUGGGGAGCAAACAGGAUUAGAUACCCCCGUAGUCC
This 745-nucleotide ribosomal RNA is filed under the name uncultured bacterium. RNAcentral's name for it is "bacterial SSU rRNA". It matches the Rfam family "Bacterial small subunit ribosomal RNA", at positions 8 to 796 of the family's 1533-position model. The record is from RNAcentral.